This 24-nucleotide non-coding RNA is filed under the name Rattus norvegicus (Norway rat). The record is from RNAcentral. Lineage: Eukaryota; Metazoa; Chordata; Mammalia; Rodentia; Muridae.
UGACAGCUUUUCCCACAAUGUGCC